This 540-nucleotide ribosomal RNA is filed under the name bacterium enrichment culture clone D97. RNAcentral's name for it is "bacterial SSU rRNA". It matches the Rfam family "Bacterial small subunit ribosomal RNA", at positions 56 to 590 of the family's 1533-position model. The record is from RNAcentral.
UGCAGUCGAGGGGCAGCAGGGUGUAGCAAUACAUCGCUGGCAACCGGCAAACGGGUGAGGAACACGUGCGCAACCUCCCUUCAAGUGAGGAAUAGCCCAGGGAAACUUGGAUUAAUACCUCGUAACAUUAUGAGAUGGCAUCAUCUUAUAAUUAUAGCUCCGGCGCUUGAAGAUGGGCGUGCGGCUGAUUAGGUAGUUGGCGGGGUAACAGCCCACCAAGCCUUCGAUCAGUAACUGGUGUGAGAGCACGACCAGUCACACGGGCACUGAGACACGGGCCCGACUCCUACGGGAGGCAGCAGUAAGGAAUAUUGGUCAAUGGACGCAAGUCUGAACCAGCCAUGCCGCGUGGAGGAUGAAGGUCCUCUGGAUUGUAAACUACUUUUAUCUGGGAAGAAACCCACGUUUUCCAAUGUGGUUGACGGUACCAGAUGAAUAAGCACCGGCUAACUCCGUGCCAGCAGCCGCGGUAAUACGAAGGAUCCAAGCGUUGUCCGGAUUUACUGGGUUUAAAGGGUGCGUAGGCGGGAGAUUAAGUCA